This 191-nucleotide transfer-messenger RNA is filed under the name Hyphomicrobium denitrificans. RNAcentral describes it as "partial transfer-messenger RNA". It matches the Rfam family "Alphaproteobacteria transfer-messenger RNA", at positions 1 to 152 of the family's 355-position model. From Rfam's summary of the family: Bacterial tmRNA, also known as 10Sa RNA or SsrA, is named for its dual tRNA and mRNA-like properties. Its role is to liberate the mRNA from a stalled ribosome. The record is from RNAcentral. Lineage: Bacteria; Pseudomonadati; Pseudomonadota; Alphaproteobacteria; Hyphomicrobiales; Hyphomicrobiaceae.
ACGCUUUCGUUCUGGCUCGCCAGUGAUUAUAUCUGAAGGGCUGGCUUGCCAGCUAUGGUGAUAAACGCGGUCGUAAUAAGCCGAUCGGACCCGGGGGCGGUACCCGGCGCCUCCACCAUUUUCUCUUUGCCGCGCCCUGCGGCCGGCUCUCCGGAGGAGAGCCGCAGGGCGAAAGCAAAGACCUAUGGGGG